Molecule: ribosomal RNA, 174 nt
Filed under: Triticum aestivum (bread wheat)
Lineage: Eukaryota; Viridiplantae; Streptophyta; Magnoliopsida; Poales; Poaceae
Description: partial small subunit ribosomal RNA
Source: RNAcentral
CAGACUGACCUCCGCUUCCAGAGCCAUGCGGUGCUAGCCCUUCAGGAGGCUGCAGAGGCCUACCUGGUGGGUCUCUUCGAGGACACCAACCUGUGCGCCAUCCAUGCCAAGCGUGUGACCAUCAUGCCCAAGGACAUUCAGCUGGCUAGGAGGAUCCGUGGCGAGAGGGCUUAA